UACGGAGGGGGCGCGCGCUAUUCGGAAUCAUUGGGCGUAAAGGGCGCGUAGGCGGCCCGCUAAGUCAGGGGUGAAAUCCCUCGGCUCAACCGAGGAAUUGCCUCUGAAACUGGCAGGCUCGAGGCCGGGAGAGGGUGGUGGAAUUCCCAGUGUAGCGGUGAAAUGCGUAGAUACUGGGAGGAACACCAGUGGCGAAGGCGGCCACCUGGACCGGUUCUGACGCUGAGGCGCGAAAGCGUGGGGAGCAAACAGG
Molecule: ribosomal RNA, 253 nt
Filed under: uncultured bacterium
Lineage: Bacteria
Description: partial 16S ribosomal RNA
Rfam family: Bacterial small subunit ribosomal RNA
Source: RNAcentral